AUGUAUUGUAAAUUUGAAAUUUGUAUUUUUGAAAUCACUCAAUUAUUUGGAAUGGUAGAGAGGUUGAGACGGGGGCGAUGUGGCAGGUCCUUGUCGGAGAUGGGGAUGAUGACGCGGCUAUCGCAUGCGAGGACCAUGGUUCACAAGUUCGUGAGGAUUUUUUUUAGGCUGAUCGUAAUGUUGGCAUGCAUGAUACUACCUAUGAUACUCCCAUUACGAUCAACCUUAUCGCCCGAGCAUGGGACGAUGUAUCGGAGCUUAAGGAGAGGAAAAAGGUUGUCGGUUCAGGCCAGGGGAGCUUAUUGGUUAAUAUUUAUGGCUACAUGA
Molecule: ribosomal RNA, 327 nt
Filed under: Triticum aestivum (bread wheat)
Lineage: Eukaryota; Viridiplantae; Streptophyta; Magnoliopsida; Poales; Poaceae
Description: partial small subunit ribosomal RNA
Source: RNAcentral